RNAcentral lists this ribosomal RNA (104 nucleotides) under uncultured bacterium. RNAcentral describes it as "partial 16S ribosomal RNA". It matches the Rfam family "Bacterial small subunit ribosomal RNA", at positions 392 to 508 of the family's 1533-position model. The record is from RNAcentral.
CGACGCCGCGUGAGCGAUGAAGCCCUUCGGGGUGUAAAAGCUUCUUUCCGGAACGGGAACGAUAAUGACGGUACCGGAGAAAGAAGCUGCGGCUAACUACGUGC